Molecule: ribosomal RNA, 492 nt
Filed under: uncultured bacterium
Lineage: Bacteria
Description: partial 16S ribosomal RNA
Rfam family: Bacterial small subunit ribosomal RNA
Source: RNAcentral
GGUGAACGCUGGCGGUAGGCCUAACACAUGCAAGUCGAACGGCAGCACAGUAAGAGCUUGCUCUUACGGGUGGCGAGUGGCGGACGGGUGAGGAAUACAUCGGAAUCUACUUUUUCGUGGGGGAUAACGUAGGGAAACUUACGCUAAUACCGCAUACGACCUACGGGUGAAAGCAGGGGAUCUUCGGACCUUGCGCGAUUGAAUGAGCCGAUGUCGGAUUAGCUAGUUGGCGGGGUAAAGGCCCACCAAGGCGACGAUCCGUAGCUGGUCUGAGAGGAUGAUCAGCCACACUGGAACUGAGACACGGUCCAGACUCCUACGGGAGGCAGCAGUGGGGAAUAUUGGACAAUGGGUGCAAGCCUGAUCCAGCCAUACCGCGUGGGUGAAGAAGGCCUUCGGGUUGUAAAGCCCUUUUGUUGGGAAAGAAAAGCAGCAGGUUAAUACCCCGCUGUUCUGACGGUACCCAAAGAAUAAGCACCGGCUAACUUCGUG